Molecule: ribosomal RNA, 1356 nt
Filed under: Lactiplantibacillus plantarum
Lineage: Bacteria; Bacillati; Bacillota; Bacilli; Lactobacillales; Lactobacillaceae
Description: bacterial SSU rRNA
Rfam family: Bacterial small subunit ribosomal RNA
Source: RNAcentral
CAUUUGAGUGAGUGGCGAACUGGUGAGUAACACGUGGGAAACCUGCCCAGAAGCGGGGGAUAACACCUGGAAACAGAUGCUAAUACCGCAUAACAACUUGGACCGCAUGGUCCGAGCUUGAAAGAUGGCUUCGGCUAUCACUUUUGGAUGGUCCCGCGGCGUAUUAGCUAGAUGGUGGGGUAACGGCUCACCAUGGCAAUGAUACGUAGCCGACCUGAGAGGGUAAUCGGCCACAUUGGGACUGAGACACGGCCCAAACUCCUACGGGAGGCAGCAGUAGGGAAUCUUCCACAAUGGACGAAAGUCUGAUGGAGCAACGCCGCGUGAGUGAAGAAGGGUUUCGGCUCGUAAAACUCUGUUGUUAAAGAAGAACAUAUCUGAGAGUAACUGUUCAGGUAUUGACGGUAUUUAACCAGAAAGCCACGGCUAACUACGUGCCAGCAGCCGCGGUAAUACGUAGGUGGCAAGCGUUGUCCGGAUUUAUUGGGCGUAAAGCGAGCGCAGGCGGUUUUUUAAGUCUGAUGUGAAAGCCUUCGGCUCAACCGAAGAAGUGCAUCGGAAACUGGGAAACUUGAGUGCAGAAGAGGACAGUGGAACUCCAUGUGUAGCGGUGAAAUGCGUAGAUAUAUGGAAGAACACCAGUGGCGAAGGCGGCUGUCUGGUCUGUAACUGACGCUGAGGCUCGAAAGUAUGGGUAGCAAACAGGAUUAGAUACCCUGGUAGUCCAUACCGUAAACGAUGAAUGCUAAGUGUUGGAGGGUUUCCGCCCUUCAGUGCUGCAGCUAACGCAUUAAGCAUUCCGCCUGGGGAGUACGGCCGCAAGGCUGAAACUCAAAGGAAUUGACGGGGGCCCGCACAAGCGGUGGAGCAUGUGGUUUAAUUCGAAGCUACGCGAAGAACCUUACCAGGUCUUGACAUACUAUGCAAAUCUAAGAGAUUAGACGUUCCCUUCGGGGACAUGGAUACAGGUGGUGCAUGGUUGUCGUCAGCUCGUGUCGUGAGAUGUUGGGUUAAGUCCCGCAACGAGCGCAACCCUUAUUAUCAGUUGCCAGCAUUAAGUUGGGCACUCUGGUGAGACUGCCGGUGACAAACCGGAGGAAGGUGGGGAUGACGUCAAAUCAUCAUGCCCCUUAUGACCUGGGCUACACACGUGCUACAAUGGAUGGUACAACGAGUUGCGAACUCGCGAGAGUAAGCUAAUCUCUUAAAGCCAUUCUCAGUUCGGAUUGUAGGCUGCAACUCGCCUACAUGAAGUCGGAAUCGCUAGUAAUCGCGGAUCAGCAUGCCGCGGUGAAUACGUUCCCGGGCCUUGUACACACCGCCCGUCACACCAUGAGAGUUUGUAACACCCAAAGU